Small nucleolar RNA from Lampris incognitus (smalleye Pacific opah), 86 nucleotides. RefSeq annotates it as small nucleolar RNA SNORD60. The record is from RefSeq and is a predicted model, not a curated record. Lineage: Eukaryota; Metazoa; Chordata; Actinopteri; Lampriformes; Lampridae. The transcript has a single exon.
AGCCACUGAUGACGAACCAAAUAAUUUCUGACACCUCGUAUGAGAGCUGAACUGUAGCUCCUGAUUAUUUUUUUGGUCUGAGGCUC